This is a ribosomal RNA of 401 nucleotides. It matches the Rfam family "Bacterial small subunit ribosomal RNA", at positions 355 to 774 of the family's 1533-position model.
UUGGGAAUAUUGCACAAUGGGGGAAACCCUGAUGCAGCGACGCCGCGUGAGGGAAGAAGGUUUUCGGAUUGUAAACCUCUGUCUUCGGGGACGAUAAUGACGGUACCCGAGGAGGAAGCCACGGCUAACUACGUGCCAGCAGCCGCGGUAAUACGUAGGUGGCAAGCGUUGUCCGGAAUUACUGGGUGUAAAGGGAGCGUAGGCGGGAAGACAAGUCAAGUGUUAAAACUAUCGGCUCAACCGAUAGUCGCGCUUGAAACUGUUUUUCUUGAGUGAAGUAGAGGUAAGCGGAAUUCCCGGUGUAGCGGUGGAAUGCGUAGAUAUCGGGAGGAACACCAGUGGCGAAGGCGGCUUACUGGGCUUUAACUGACGCUGAGGCUCGAAAGUGUGGGUAGCAAACA